This 495-nucleotide ribosomal RNA is filed under the name uncultured bacterium. RNAcentral describes it as "partial 16S ribosomal RNA". It matches the Rfam family "Bacterial small subunit ribosomal RNA", at positions 29 to 506 of the family's 1533-position model. The record is from RNAcentral.
ACGAACGCUGGCGGCGUGCCUAAUACAUGCAAGUAGAACGCUGAAGAGAGGAGCUUGCUCUUCUUGGAUGAGUUGCGAACGGGUGAGUAACGCGUAGGUAACCUGCCUUGUAGCGGGGGAUAACUAUUGGAAACGAUAGCUAAUACCGCAUAACAAUGGAUGACACAUGUCAUUUAUUUGAAAGGGGCAAUUGCUCCACUACAAGAUGGACCUGCGUUGUAUUAGCUAGUAGGUGAGGUAACGGCUCACCUAGGCGACGAUACAUAGCCGACCUGAGAGGGUGAUCGGCCACACUGGGACUGAGACACGGCCCAGACUCCUACGGGAGGCAGCAGUAGGGAAUCUUCGGCAAUGGGGGCAACCCUGACCGAGCAACGCCGCGUGAGUGAAGAAGGUUUUCGGAUCGUAAAGCUCUGUUGUAAGUCAAGAACGAGUGUGAGAGUGGAAAGUUCACACUGUGACGGUAGCUUACCAGAAAGGGACGGCUAACUACGU